GCCUGUGUGGCUCAGUCGGUUAAGCGUCCGACUUCAGCUCAGGUCAUGAUCUUGCAGUUCGUGGGUUCAAACCCCACAUCGGGCU
RNAcentral lists this transfer RNA (85 nucleotides) under Felis catus (domestic cat). It matches the Rfam family "tRNA". Rfam says of the family: Transfer RNA (tRNA) molecules are approximately 80 nucleotides in length. RNAcentral also lists the same sequence under 1 other name. Lineage: Eukaryota; Metazoa; Chordata; Mammalia; Carnivora; Felidae. The record is from Rfam by way of RNAcentral.